Molecule: transfer RNA, 74 nt
Filed under: Beta vulgaris subsp. vulgaris (sugar beet)
Lineage: Eukaryota; Viridiplantae; Streptophyta; Magnoliopsida; Caryophyllales; Amaranthaceae
Rfam family: tRNA
About the family: Transfer RNA (tRNA) molecules are approximately 80 nucleotides in length. Their secondary structure includes four short double-helical elements and three loops (D, anti-codon, and T loops).
Source: Rfam by way of RNAcentral
GCACUCUUAAUUCAAUUGGGUAGAACGUGGGUCUCCAAAAUCCGAUGUCGUAGGUUCAAAUCGUACAGAGCGUG